This 492-nucleotide ribosomal RNA is filed under the name uncultured bacterium. RNAcentral's name for it is "partial 16S ribosomal RNA". It matches the Rfam family "Bacterial small subunit ribosomal RNA", at positions 29 to 507 of the family's 1533-position model. The record is from RNAcentral.
AGUGAACGCUGGCGGUAGGCCUAACACAUGCAAGUCGAACGGCAGCACAGUAAGAGCUUGCUCUUACGGGUGGCGAGUGGCGGACGGGUGAGGAAUACAUCGGAAUCUACUUUUUCGUGGGGGAUAACGUAGGGAAACUUACGCUAAUACCGCAUACGACCUACGGGUGAAAGCAGGGGAUCUUCGGACCUUGCGCGAUUGAAUGAGCCGAUGUCGGAUUAGCUAGUUGGCGGGGUAAAGGCCCACCAAGGCGACGAUCCGUAGCUGGUCUGAGAGGAUGGUCACCCACACUGGAACUGAGACACGGUCCAGACUCCUACGGGAGGCAGCAGUGGGGAAUAUUGGCCAAUGGGCGCAAGCCUGAUCCAGCCAUACCGCGUGGGUGCAGAAGGCCUUCGGGUUGUAAAGCCCUUUUGUUGGGAAAGAAAAGCAGCAGGUUAAUACCCCGCUGUUCUGACGGUACCCAAAGAAUAAGCACCGGCUAACUUCGUG